ACAGGUUGUAACAUUAUUAAUGGAAUAGAGUGUGUUCAGCAGGCCUACAGGUUGUAACAUUAUUAAUGGAAUAGAGUGUGUUCAGCAGGCCUACAGGUUGUAACAUUAUUAAUGGAAUAGAGUGUGUUCAGCAGGCCUACAGGUUGUAACAUUAUUAAUGGAAUAGAGUGUGUUCAGCAGGCCUACAGGUGUGCCUGGGCCUACAGGUUGUAACAUUAUUAAUGGAAUAGUGUGUGUUCAGCAGGCCUACAGGUGUGCCUGGGCCUACAGGUUGUAACAUUAUUAAUGGAAUAGAGUGUGUUCAGCAGGCCUACAGGUGUGUCUGGGUAAAAGAGUAGGCUAACUGGAAAAAGACUGUUCAAUUGUGUUGGUAACAAAUGUCAGGAUUGCUGUUGAUCUCUUUACACGUAUGGGUACAAAUCCCCUGUCUAUGCGGAUUGCGAGAUGAGUGGAAGUCACAAGACAUUUGUGUUACACAAUCUGGUCCUGAUAUAACCUGAUAUCUAUCUGUUUUGGAUAAAUGGAAAUAGGUGCUUCUGUGUAUGGCCCAUGGUAUCUCCAUACCCAUCUCCAGCAGCCUAGAGCAUGGAGCUCCACACGCUGUCCCGUUUUCAUGCAAGAGGGUCCUGUCACUUAAAACGUUUCAUCAUACUGUUUGAACUCAGGCUCGUUAACAGGCUCGGGUCAUGUGAAACCAUUUCAGUUUCAUUCUGACCACAAUGGCCAGGCAGCUGUUGUAAACGGCCUUGACAUCGUAGGUACCAUGCCAUCUUGGAGCAAAUGCGUUUCCUUUUAAACUCUCACCAUGAUCAUGUCUCCUUCUGUGAAUCUGGCUUCAACCUCUGGGUUGAACAGAACAUCGUUUGAUCGGUCUGACUGAAACUGUCUCAGCGUAGCCUGUGCAUACAGCACCUGGAGUCUGUCCUGACACCUUUGGGUUGCAAAAUUUGUCUGGCAAUCCAUUCUUUCAGAAAGAGGUUUUAUCUUUCCACAAAAGCGUCCGACUCUGGUUCGUAUGUCACGUGAACCCUCUUUAUUGUUGAAAAUGUUUCACUUAUCCUUUGUGACUUUCCCGGUGAAGUGGUCCUCACAGUCUGACUCACAGUGAUUUGGCACUCCCCAGAGGGGGAUGAUUGGGUUGGCUAGAACACGUGCUGUGGUGUGGGUCAAACAGUACCUAUAGUAUACCAGCCCUUUGCAGGUUGACGUGGCCCUACACUAUGCAGUCAAUUUGGAAUGGCUCCCAGGGACCCCUCAGAGGUUCUGUUCUGCUGUGCCUUGUCAGUUCGCAUCUCCCCUGGUUAAACACAACACACCAAGCAUGUCUGCACCAUUGUUCAAUAUCAGUGGCCAGGCUUGGCCAGCAAUAGAACUGCUUCACAAGGACACAUGAGCAUAUUCUUGAUACAUUUUGAUGGGCUUCCGUAAAGAACCUGGGACCACAUACUGUAUUUUCCAUCAUGGAGAACAAUCCCCUGUACAACUGUGACUAGCAAAUCCUCUUUCAAUUUAGCCUCCAGUUCCCCCUUAUAGACCCAUAACUCAUUCUGGGAAUCUCUCAAAAACCAUGGGUGUGGCCUGAAAGGUACUCUUACAGACCUUCCAAUAAACAUUUCAUUACACUACACAGGGUUAUGAAAGGGUGGAGGGCGGGACAGAUCUAUUGUAUUUUCCUUGAAAAGACCAAAGCAGGUUGUUUGAUUAAUUCACGUGCUGGACGAAGGAAAGGCUGGUGAGCUGGAAGGGAGGUUUUAUAUUUGACGGCCCCCUUUAAAAUAACAUAUGGAGUAGGAAAGUGUUCAGUGGCUAAGUGGCAAGUAAACAUUUGCUCACCUCUUGUUAUUAGAGAUAAUGCCUCCGACAUUUCAAUGUCACAGUGACAUCAGCUGUCGUUCCCAGGCUGAAAAAAAGAGUCAGGCCCGACAUGGGAUGAAUCGAUAGCCUCAUCCCAUUACUACGGCAUCCAGGCAGGCCCUUUUCCAGAGAGAGGAAAAGAGAAAUUCAGCAUUUACUCGUCCACAGCACAUUUCCCUCGCAAUGAGCAGAUGCUGAAUGGCUAUGAGCAGCACACUUAAAGACCUGGCGGACACAGGAGGACAGGCCACGACCAGGGGCUAAUAGGAAACAGCGGAAUGACUUCAGUCACGGAGUCGCACAUGUGGGUCCAUACCAGAUAAAAUGCAAGGUUCAAAAAACUAAUUGAACGAGACCAGCAAUAAGGAUCUGGCCCUGACUGAGGAGGCAUGCUUGAGUGAUGACAGUGGGGCCAUCAUUCUUUGACGCCAUCUAGCUGGAAAAUCCUUUCUAGGUUUAUUUUAAACAUUGACACAGACCGCAUCCUACUGUGGUCUGGGUCAAUGUUUAUGUUCUUUCAAGUGAGUUACUUAAUGCUUCCGGAAGCCUGAUAUUCCACUAAGUAAUGCUUAAAUAAAUUCUGCGUACCACUAACGCACAUCAUUUUGCCUGUAUUAUGGAAACCCUAUUUGAUGGGCCCAAAUUGCCCACUCAGUACAGAUGAGCCACAGCUGUUGAAUGAGGCAUGCUGGGUAGUCUGCCUGUCAGUGUGUGUGUGUGUUUGGCAGGCUCUGACUCAGCAUACUGACGUGCGCUGCCGGGAGAGAGCACGAGAGGCCGGUUCUUUUAUUACCUAAUCCAGUUUGGGAGAUGAAUCCAGCCAGUAAUCUAAUAUUCCUAUAAACGAUUCCUCCUUUGUACAUUAAUCACUGACCUUACCCAAUAACAGCACAUUUUCCAACCCCCGGCCACUGGAAAGACAAGAGACGUGUCUGUGUAUGAGGUUG
Long non-coding RNA from Esox lucius (northern pike), 2801 nucleotides. NCBI's taxonomy places the organism in Eukaryota, Metazoa, Chordata, Actinopteri, Esociformes, Esocidae. The record is from Ensembl.